UACGUAGGAUGCGAGCGUUAUCCGGAAUUAUUGGGUGUAAAGCGUGUGUAGGCGGUAAAUUAAGCCUAAGGUCUAAGCCCGGAGCUCGACUCCGGUUCGCCUUAGAAACUGAUUUUCUUGAGUAUGGUAGGGCAAACGGAAUUUCUAGUGUAGCGGUAAAAUGCGUAGAUAUUAGAAGGAACACCAGUGGCGAAGGCGGUUUGCUGGGCCAAAACUGACGCUGAGACACGAAUGCGUGGGGAGCAAAUAG
RNAcentral lists this ribosomal RNA (250 nucleotides) under uncultured prokaryote. RNAcentral describes it as "partial 16S ribosomal RNA". It matches the Rfam family "Bacterial small subunit ribosomal RNA", at positions 524 to 775 of the family's 1533-position model. The record is from RNAcentral.